This 222-nucleotide ribosomal RNA is filed under the name Klebsiella pneumoniae. Its description in RNAcentral is "partial 23S ribosomal RNA". It matches the Rfam family "Bacterial large subunit ribosomal RNA", at positions 2493 to 2715 of the family's 2925-position model. The record is from RNAcentral. Lineage: Bacteria; Pseudomonadati; Pseudomonadota; Gammaproteobacteria; Enterobacterales; Enterobacteriaceae.
CAAGAGUUCAUAUCGACGGCGGUGUUUGGCACCUCGAUGUCGGCUCAUCACAUCCUGGGGCUGAAGUAGGUCCCAAGGGUAUGGCUGUUCGCCAUUUAAAGUGGUACGCGAGCUGGGUUUAGAACGUCGUGAGACAGUUCGGUCCCUAUCUGCCGUGGGCGCUGGAGAAUUGAGGGGGCUGCUCCUAGUACGAGAGGACCGGAGUGGACGCAUCACUGGUGU